This 553-nucleotide ribosomal RNA is filed under the name uncultured bacterium. Its description in RNAcentral is "bacterial SSU rRNA". It matches the Rfam family "Bacterial small subunit ribosomal RNA", at positions 355 to 896 of the family's 1533-position model. The record is from RNAcentral.
UAGGGAAUCUUCGGCAAUGGACGGAAGUUUGACCGAGCAACGCCACGUGAGUGAAGAAGGUUUUCGGAUCGUAAAGCUCUGUUGUAAGAGAAGAACGAGUGUGAGAGUGGAAAGUUCACACUGUGACGGUAUCUUACCAGAAAGGGACGGCUAACUACGUGCCAGCAGCCGNGGUAAUACGUAGGUCCCGAGCGUUGUCCGGAUUUAUUGGGCGUAAAGCGAGCGCAGGCGGUUAGAUAAGUCUGAAGUUAAAGGCUGUGGCUUAACCAUAGUAGGCUUUGGAAACUGUUUAACUUGAGUGCAAGAGGGGAGAGUGGAAUUCCAUGUGUAGCGGUGAAAUGCGUAGAUAUAUGGAGGAACACCGGUGGCGAAAGCGGCUCUCUGGCUUGUAACUGACGCUGAGGGCUCGAAAGCGUGGGGAGCAAACAGGAUUAGAUACCCUGGUAGUCCACGCUGUAAACGAUGAGUGCUAGGUGUUAGACCCUUUCCCGGGGUUUAGUGCCGUAGCUAACGCAUUAAGCACUCCGCCUGGGGAGUACGACCCGCAAGGUUG